Molecule: ribosomal RNA, 737 nt
Filed under: uncultured Corynebacterium sp.
Lineage: Bacteria; Bacillati; Actinomycetota; Actinomycetes; Mycobacteriales; Corynebacteriaceae
Description: bacterial SSU rRNA
Rfam family: Bacterial small subunit ribosomal RNA
Source: RNAcentral
GACGAACGCUGGCGGCGUGCUUAACACAUGCAAGUCGAACGGAAAGGCCUGCAGCUUGCUGCGGGUACUCGAGUGGCGAACGGGUGAGUAACACGUGGGUGAUCUGCCUUGCACUUCGGGAUAAGCUUGGGAAACUGGGUCUAAUACCGGAUAGGACAGCUGUUUAGUGUCAGUUGUGGAAAGUUUUUUCGGUGCAAGAUGAGCUCGCGGCCUAUCAGCUUGUUGGUGGGGUAAUGGCCUACCAAGGCGUCGACGGGUAGCCGGCCUGAGAGGGUGUACGGCCACAUUGGGACUGAGAUGCGGCCCAGACUCCUACGGGAGGCAGCAGUGGGGAAUAUUGCACAAUGGGCGGAAGCCUGAUGCAGCGACGCCGCGUGGGGGAUGAAGGCCUUCGGGUUGUAAACUCCUUUCGACAGGGACGAAGCGUAAGUGACGGUACCUGUAUAAGAAGCACCGGCUAACUACGUGCCAGCAGCCGCGGUAAUACGUAGGGUGCGAGCGUUGUCCGGAAUUACUGGGCGUAAAGAGCUCGUAGGUGGUUUGUCGCGUCGUCUGUGAAAUUCCGGGGCUUAACUCCGGGCGUGCAGGCGAUACGGGCUGACUUGAGUGCUGUAGGGGAGACUGGAAUUCCUGGUGUAGCGGUGAAAUGCGCAGAUAUCAGGAGGAACACCGAUGGCGAAGGCAGGUCUCUGGGCAGUAACUGACGCUGAGGAGCGAAAGCAUGGGUAGCGAACAGG